GUCUUGUAAUUGGAAUGAUGGGAAUUUAAACCUCUUCCAGAGUAUCAAUUGGAGGGCAAGUCUGGUGCCAGCAGCCGCGGUAAUUCCAGCUCCAAUAGCGUAUAUUAAAGUUGUUGCAGUUAAAAAGCUCGUAGUUGUACUUCUGCUGCAUUGUACUUUCUCUUGUAUGGGUUAUUGCAUUGCGGCUUAUUUCGGUCAUGGUUUUCCUUGUCCGGAUGUUUACUUUGAGAAAAUUAGAGUGCUCAAAGCAGGCUUUUGCCUUGUAUAGUUUAGCAUGGAAUAAUAGAGUAGGACUUUGGUUCUAUUUUGUUGGUUUUAUGUACCAAAGUAAUGGUUAAUAGGAA
This 344-nucleotide ribosomal RNA is filed under the name Theileria sp. GG3. RNAcentral describes it as "SSU rRNA". It matches the Rfam family "Eukaryotic small subunit ribosomal RNA", at positions 500 to 878 of the family's 1831-position model. Lineage: Eukaryota; Apicomplexa; Aconoidasida; Piroplasmida; Theileriidae. The record is from RNAcentral.